This is a long non-coding RNA of Camelus dromedarius (Arabian camel), 1888 nucleotides long. RefSeq lists it as uncharacterized. The record is from RefSeq and is a predicted model, not a curated record. The transcript has 3 exons. NCBI's taxonomy places the organism in Eukaryota, Metazoa, Chordata, Mammalia, Artiodactyla, Camelidae.
CUGAGAACUGCGUCCUUCCGCUGCUGUUUACUCAGAAUCCUCCUGGAUCGAGGACUGAGACUGAGCAGUUAUUACACCAAUGUGAAUCAGUGAGCCCGUGGACACUGGUCUUUCUCUUCCGUCCCCACUGCCGCAGCCACCCUUAGUCCCAGUCUGAAUCACGGGAGCAGUCUCCUGGCCGCCCUCCCUGCAGCACUGAGUCCCCUGGGACCCGUUUCUUCACGCUGAGGGCCGUCGUGCGUUCGCAGAAAGGUGACGGGCCAGGGCUACCUGCGCCCGAGUCCGGGGCUCGACUGGUCCAGAGGAAGUUGUGACCAGAGAGGGAACCUUUUCAAAAAUAUGCACAAAAGCUACUGUGGGCUGUCACACGGGUUCUGGCCCCAUGAAGUCAGUCCACUCCAAACUCUUGAAAGCCCCUCAGGUUGUCCACAGAUUAAAAUCCAAAUUUCUGUCUCGUUUAUGACGCCUUCUAUGAUCUAGCCUCUCCUUUAUUCCUCUGCCUUAUCACUUUGCUGAGGGUUUUGCUUAUGCUCUGCUCGGUUCUCAACCUCAACCCAGCUCCUGUGUCCCUCCAGGCCCCGUGGGACAGAACAAGGGCCCCUCCCCCUCCUGGCCCACCCCUCCCCCAACUCCUACCGUGGUAACAGCAAACAUUAAGGGUGUGGCGGGCUGAGCGUUUUACCUUCAAUCUGGCAGUUAAUCUGAACAACAACCCUGUGGGGUACGAAGCUUUAUUCCCUUUUACAGACAGGGAAGUUGAGGCACCGAGGUUUAAAAGUAACUUGGACAGAGUCAGGUGGGAAAUAGUGGUGGAGCCCUGGACUGAGACAGGUCUGUCUUCAGAGUCCACGUUCUUAGUCACUCCUCCGGUCUUCACUGAAACGUCAUUUUUCCAGGAAGCAGCCCUGGCCCCUCAGUUCUAGGUGAAAUGCCUUUCACGUUCCUGCCUCAGGAUCCUGGACUCACCCCAUCACAUCAUCCUUGCUGGUUUCUUUAUUAGUCAUCUGACCAGAAUGUAAACUCGAUGAAGAAAGGGGAACCUCUGUGGUUCAAGGGCGUCAUUAGUGUGGUGGCAUUUACGCCGUUUUGCCUGUGACUCACAUUAAGGAAUACACGCAGUAACACGUCCAGAUGACUAUUAAUAGCUAAAGGUUUCAGGAAAGAAGUAUUGGCUAUGGCACAAUGAACUCUGGUAUUUUCUACACAGUUCUUUUUUUAAAUGCUGCUAGAGACACACAAUUUAUGUCAACUAUUCAUUAAUGACUGAAAACAAAGCUUGAAAAGCACCAACCCGGCUCAUUGCCUGGAGCAAAGUUCUUUGCCUGCAUCAUAAACUCAUUCAUUCAUUCUUAAAUCACACAGGCAUGCAUUUUUCAUACUCAUCUGUACUAUAAUAAGUCAAAGUAUUCAGAAAGAAUGAGUACAUUAGUUUUCAAGAUUGUAUUGAUUUCUGUUCUUUUUUCUUCUCCCUUAUAACUGUAAACUCUGCCACUAGUUUGGAAACAGCAAAGAUAAACUUGGAAUUCCUAGAUCUCGAAAGAGGUCAAAGACGUUGAUUCUAAGAGUAAAGGCCACGGACAGCAUCUCUUCUGUUGUCUCCUGACCCUCUUAGGCAAGAACACUUCUAAGAAUUUGUUAUCUAAGAACGGGAGACUUAAACAUUGUUACCCAAGGCAAUAAAAAUGACUCCGCCAAUUCUUAUCAACUGCAAAUUUGUACCCUUGGAGGAAAGAGAGAACUAUUCCCUGUGUUCUUUGUUCUAGGCCCAGACGUGAAGGACAGUCUUUAGAUAAGAAAGACAAUUUAGACAAUUAAAGAAUUAAUAUUUUAUUUUCCUAACUUUUGGAGAAAACAAAAAGACUCACAAAUCUGUUAUCCAGGAGAGAAA